Molecule: long non-coding RNA, 2058 nt
Organism: Arvicola amphibius (Eurasian water vole)
Lineage: Eukaryota; Metazoa; Chordata; Mammalia; Rodentia; Cricetidae
Exons: 6
Source: RefSeq, a predicted model, not a curated record
GGUUUCUCCCGAGGAAGCCGUUUCCUGACUUCUACUUGAAAGACAUGCCGUUUCUAAGAGACACUGAACAGUGGAGUCUAGCGCAUGAAAUGGCAUUUGUGUCCCGGAAUACUGACGUGGCAGACUGAAGUGCAGUUCUGGGUGGAAGCGGAAUGGGAUAAAGAGCUCUAGCAACAACACAAAGGAAGGAAUACAGAAUGGGAUCGGGAAUACGAAACACAUAGGCGAGGCUUUCUGAAUACUUGGGAGGAGUACCCCAAACCAACAGGGAAGAGUCUAGUUCUUUAAGAAAGACCAAUAAGCAGUUAAACAGACCCAGAGAAACAUCUGAUUGGAUACAGGAAUACUACAUAAUCUCUUAACAAUGCCAUGCCCUCAAAUACUGAAGUGCAACUCAGUGUUCUAGAGAAAGAAGGUUUAAAGAAAAGAAAACAAAGCCAUGGCACACAUAUGAACACCAUCACUGUGCCCUUCACUUGGGGGAUGAAGAUGAUAGUAUGGUCCCAGAGGAUGAAGUACAGCUGGUGAACAAAGGACAAUAGACACUGGAUGCUUCCGUGGUUCCCUCCAACACCUCCUCUGGGGAGUUUCUAAUCAACCACAGCGACUCCGAAGGCUUGAGAGUGAAGGCCUCCUUUCCUGGAGGAGUGAUGGACCCAUGGAAGGUCUUCAAAUAGUCAUGUGGAAACCACUACAGGCUUUCAGGCUAAGAGAAGAAGGCAAGCAGUCCAGGAGGACUUCAAUUCUUCUUUCUGGGCUCCUGACUCCCAGAAUCAGCUCAGCUGACUCCUGACUCCCAGAAUCGGUUCAGGGGGAUCGUUGGGCAGGGAGGUGAAGAACUAUAUCCCGUGUCACCUUUGCCAACAGCCAGAAUAACAUGUUCGGCUCAUGCACGCCAUCUUGGAGUAGACUAUUCUUGGGAAGGUACCAAGAACCACUAAUCAACAAAGCAAAACAGUGGUAGCCAGGCCCACGCUACUGGUAAUACAGCUACUGACUGUGCCGCAGUGGAAUCGGGAGGUCACAAGAUCCUCUUUCCGGUUUCCCACAUUCCCAGCUACAAAGGAUCUUGAGAGAUGCUGGAGUAUACAGGAAGUGGAAGGUUGUCUGAAAGAGUGCCUCAGUGAAGCAAUUAUUUAUGCUAGGUGGGAAAUUUUGCUGAUGCAUCUGCCUGGGCUCACCUGCUGUCAAGAUUCUGCUCUGCUCUGUGUACCCUCACUGUGUGAAAGGGUUUUCAGAGGGACUUGGUUGUAUUAGGCAGAGACUGGGUUUAUUAGGCAGCUUUCACUCUAUUUUGAGGACAGAAGCUGACUCUUACUUGAGUGGGUACAAGAGCAGCACCAUGUGGCCAACAGCACCUACUGAUAACCAACUUACUCCUGGAAGUAGAGGGGGUACCACCCUAUAAAUCUAUCAGAGUAAAUGGAGACUACAGGCAUCCAUGGGCAUGCUAAAAUCCUAUCGGGGAAAAAACAAGCCCAAACACUUAACAGACACACAAGACAGACCAAAGAAAGAACUCCGCAACCUGGACACCAUAGGUGGAUGCUUAGCAGUGUUAAUAACAACAACCCCAGUGACUUGUUAUCUGACACCUGAUGCGUGCAUCAAGGCUCACAGGCAGUGACUCCAGACUGUCGAUUCAGCUUGACUUGGGCCCCACUUCUGUCACAACCUUCUUCCACUGCCACCUGCUCAUGCUCUUGUGAAGCUGUCUGGCCUUGGUCCUUUACAAUGUUAACUUCUGAUACUCAAACUGCUGCUGCUGCAGCUUCUCUGCAUCUUGCUUUGGUUAUUUUAUCAACAGAGCCUUGUGUAUUUCUAUCAGUUUCCAAAGCUCCUUCUACUCCCUGCCUCUUUAAUCUUCUGUAGUCACUCUAUAACCUACAAAUUUGCAUGUGCAGAGAGAUAUUUACCGUGUGAUAUGUAGUGUGUGAUCUGAGAAUUAGUACUAGUAGUAAUUAAGACUGGAAUUGAAGAUUCAGUUUGGGGGAGGAGGUGGAAAUUUUUAAUAAAUAAAAAAAGAAAAAAAAUAAAUAAAGAUUCAGUUUGCCUCAU